GAGCAAUAUUGGUCAAUGGGCGAUGGCCUGAACCAGCCAAGUAGCGUGAAGGAUGACUGCCCUAUGGGUUGUAAACUUCUUUUAUAAAGGAAUAAAGUCGGGUAUGCAUACCCGUUUGCAUGUACUUUAUGAAUAAGGAUCGGCUAACUCCGUGCCAGCAGCCGCGGUAAUACGGAGGAUCCGAGCGUUAUCCGGAUUUAUUGGGUUUAAAGGGAGCGUAGAUGGAUGUUUAAGUCAGUUGUGAAAGUUUGCGGCUCAACCGUAAAAUUGCAGUUGAUACUGGAUGUCUUGAGUGCAGUUGAGGCAGGCGGAAUUCGUGGUGUAGCGGUGAAAUGCUUAGAUAUCACGAAGAACUCCGAUUGCGAAGGCAGCCUGCUAAGCUGCAACUGACAUUGAGGCUCGAAAGUGUGGGUAUCAAACAGGAUUAGAUACCCUGGUAGUCCACACGGUAAACGAUGAAUGUCCGCUGUUUGCGAUA
RNAcentral lists this ribosomal RNA (478 nucleotides) under uncultured bacterium. RNAcentral's name for it is "bacterial SSU rRNA". It matches the Rfam family "Bacterial small subunit ribosomal RNA", at positions 356 to 831 of the family's 1533-position model. The record is from RNAcentral.